RNAcentral lists this ribosomal RNA (492 nucleotides) under uncultured bacterium. Its description in RNAcentral is "partial 16S ribosomal RNA". It matches the Rfam family "Bacterial small subunit ribosomal RNA", at positions 29 to 507 of the family's 1533-position model. The record is from RNAcentral.
AGUGAACGCUGGCGGUAGGCCUAACACAUGCAAGUCGAACGGCAGCACAGUAAGAGCUUGCUCUUACGGGUGGCGAGUGGCGGACGGGUGAGGAAUACAUCGGAAUCUACUUUUUCGUGGGGGAUAACGUAGGGAAACUUACGCUAAUACCGCAUACGACCUACGGGUGAAAGCAGGGGAUCUUCGGCCCUUGCCCGAUUGAUUGAGCCGAUGUCGGAUUAGCUAGUUGGCGGGGUAAAGGCCCACCAAGGCGACGAUCCGUAGCUGGUCUGAGAGGAUGAUCAGCCACACUGGAACUGAGACACGGUCCAGACUCCUACGGGAGGCAGCAGUGGGGAAUAUUGGACAAUGGGCGCAAGCCUGAUCCAGCCAUACCGCGUGGGUGAAGAAGGCCUUCGGGUUGUAAAGCCCUUUUGUUGGGAAAGAAAAGCAGCAGGUUAAUACCCCGCUGUUCUGACGGUACCCAAAGAAUAAGCACCGGCUAACUUCGUG